GGGUGCCAGCUGCACAGUGCAGUGGGGCAGGUUAAAGAACAGCGCAGGUCGGGCCGCCAUGCG
Molecule: non-coding RNA, 63 nt
Organism: Pseudomonas putida S11
Lineage: Bacteria; Pseudomonadati; Pseudomonadota; Gammaproteobacteria; Pseudomonadales; Pseudomonadaceae
Source: Rfam